CGGACUGAAAAUCCGUUGGCUUUAUAGACCAUGAGGGUUCAAGUCCCUCUACCCCCA
Molecule: transfer RNA, 57 nt
Filed under: Porella inaequalis
Lineage: Eukaryota; Viridiplantae; Streptophyta; Jungermanniopsida; Porellales; Porellaceae
Description: partial tRNA-Leu
Rfam family: tRNA
About the family: Transfer RNA (tRNA) molecules are approximately 80 nucleotides in length. Their secondary structure includes four short double-helical elements and three loops (D, anti-codon, and T loops).
Source: RNAcentral